Molecule: ribosomal RNA, 945 nt
Filed under: Micrococcus sp. 84MP
Lineage: Bacteria; Bacillati; Actinomycetota; Actinomycetes; Micrococcales; Micrococcaceae
Description: bacterial SSU rRNA
Rfam family: Bacterial small subunit ribosomal RNA
Source: RNAcentral
UGCGNUGCUAUACAUGCAGUCGAGCGAACGGACGAGAGUGCUUGCACUCUCUGAUGUUAGCGGCGGACGGGUGAGUAACACGUGGGUAACCUACCUAUAAGACUGGGAUAACUUCGGGAAACCGGAGCUAAUACCGGAUAAUAUUUAGCUUCGCAUGAAGCAAUAGUGAAAGACGGUUCUGCUGUCACUUAUAGAUGGACCCGCGGUGUAUUAGCUAGUUGGUGAGGUAACGGCUCACCAAGGCAACGAUACAUAGCCGACCUGAGAGGGUGAUCGGCCACACUGGGACUGAGACACGGCCCAGACUCCUACGGGAGGCAGCAGUAGGGAAUCUUCCGCAAUGGACGAAAGUCUGACGGAGCAACGCCGCGUGAGUGAAGAAGGUUUUCGGAUCGUAAAACUCUGUUGUAAGGGAAGAACAAGUACGUUAGUAACUGAACGUACCUUGACGGUACCUUACCAGAAAGCCACGGCUAACUACGUGCCAGCAGCCGCGGUAAUACGUAGGUGGCAAGCGUUAUCCGGAAUUAUUGGGCGUAAAGCGCGCGUAGGCGGUCUCUUAAGUCUGAUGUGAAAGCCCCCGGCUCAACCGGGGAGGGUCAUUGGAAACUGGGAGACUUGAGUGCAGAAGAGGAGAGUGGAAUUCCAUGUGUAGCGGUGAAAUGCGCAGAGAUAUGGAGGAACACCAGUGGCGAAGGCGGCUCUCUGGUCUGUAACUGACGCUGAAGUGCGAAAGCGUGGGGGAUCAAACAGGAUUAGAUACCCUGGUAGUCCACGCCGUAAAACGAUGAGUGCUAAGUGUUGGGGGGGUUUCCGCCCCCUCAGUGCUGCAGCUAACGCAUUAAGCACUCCGCCCUGGGGGAGUACCGGUCGCAAGACUGAAACUCAAAGGAAUUGACCGGGGACCCGCACAAGCGGGUGGGAGCAUGGUGGUUUAAUUCGAAG